AUUGAACGCUGGCGGCAGGCUUAACACAUGCAAGUCGAGCGGGGUGAUGGUGCUUGCACUAUCACUUAGCGGCGGACGGGUGAGUAAUGCUUAGGAAUCUGCCUAUUAGUGGGGGACAACAUCUCGAAAGGGAUACUAAUACCGCAUACGUCCUACGGGAGAAAGCAGGGGAUCACUUGUGACCUUGCGCUAAUAGAUGAGCCUAAGUCGGAUUAGCUAGUUGGUGGGGUAAAGGCCUACCAAGGCGACGAUCUGUAGCGGGUCCGAGAGGAUGAUCCGCCACACUGGGACUGAGACACGGCCCAGACUCCUACGGGAGGCAGCAGUGGGGAAUAUUGGACAAUGGGGGGAACCCUGAUCCAGCCAUGCCGCGUGUGUGAAGAAGGCCUUAUGGUUGUAAAGCACUUUAAGCGAGGAGGAGGCUCUUUUGGUUAAUACCCAAGAUGAGUGGACGUUACUCGCAGAAUAAGCACCGGCUAACUCUGUGCCAGCAGCCGCAGUAA
Molecule: ribosomal RNA, 503 nt
Filed under: uncultured bacterium
Lineage: Bacteria
Description: partial 16S ribosomal RNA
Rfam family: Bacterial small subunit ribosomal RNA
Source: RNAcentral